AAUAAAAUUAUAUAUUUUAAAAAAUUGUCGAUAUGUUCAAUAUGUUCGAAUAUUUAAAAAUAGUUAAUAAUAAAUAGCAAAAGAAGAAAAGAAAAGAGAAGAUAAGUAUCGACUUUAGAAAGUUCUCUUUAAAAUUUCAAAUCACGGUCAACGUACUCUCUUUUCUCCAAAGGCCCCCUAGAGCAAUAGUAUAAGAACGACGGAGGAAGAUUCGAGGCUUUCUCAUGAACGAUAGAGAAUAAUAAAUCAAUCCUAACGUUUCUAGAGUUAGCGCGACUAUGAAAGGAUCCUAACGAAAAGCUAAGGGAUUAAAGAUCUCGUGGCUUCCCGUUAAACUUUCUCUUGUCAAAUAGCCAGUCGGUAAAAAGACGUUCGUUCGAUCGCACGGUAAAAUCUGUGCCCUUUCGUGUGACACACAAGGGGUCCUUGCAGGUAGGUAAGUAAGUACCAGAGGGAAGAAGAAGAAGAAGAAGAAGAAGUUAACCUUUUCACCGUCUUUCAUGAUGGGCUCUUGUGAUCGUUCUAACAAAGAAGAGAAGUAGAGAGAUAUAGAUAGAUAGAUAAAUAGAUAGAUAGAUAGAUAGAAAGAAAGAGAGAGAGAGAAAGAGAAAGAGAGAGAAAUAUACAAAAAAGAUAUAGAGAUGAGUCAUCAAGAAGAGAAGCAAUGAAGAGUCACACGCUUGGAUGCGUAGGUGAAAUAUAAUGGAGAGAAGAGAGUAUAAGGGCAAAACAAGAAAGAUAAAAAGAGAGAGAGAGAGAGAGAGAGCACUACAAGUGUUUCCCCUGCUUGCUGAGGCGUCGAUAUAUCAGCAGUCGGCGAAAGAAGCUCAAUGUGGCGGUAAAAGCGGACGGUAAUGCAGAUUGUGACCCGUGCACUAGGUGUCUCCUGUUACCGCGUUGCAUUGUGUGUGCAGAGGCGUGCAUCUCGAUGAUCCUCUUUCCUUCUACCCCUCACCUAACCCCAGAGAGAGAGAGAAGAGAGUAAUCCGCCAUAUCUCUUCCUCUAAGCCCUUUUCUCGGCUAAGAUAGGACUCUAGCGAUUUUGUUGUUGCCUCGAUCAAAUCAUUUUUUUUAAAUGAUAUAAAACUAGGGGUCCACGAGAUUUUUUAUAAGAAAUUGAAUAAAGAGGUAUACUACUCGAUGUGCUCGAUUAAAAACUAAAAUGGAAAAAGUAAUAUAUCAGCUUUCUGGAAAUGAUCCAGCUAAAUCAAUCAGAAAGGUAAAAAUAUGUCCUUAUUUCUUUUUUUCUUUCUCUCUUGUAAGAAAAAGGUUCAAACCACUAAAAUGGCUCCAGGAAAACGUUUCGCACGCGAUACCGUCCCUACGUAUUUAGUUCCCAAGGUUGGUAAGUAUGUAUAAACCUUCCAUACAAUGCGCGUGGUACCUACUUACUAUCGAAAGGAUCAAUACAGGGGACAUGCACCGGCCUGCUUGCUUGCUUGCUCGCUCGCUUGCUUGGCUCAGUUUGCUUACUUGCUUGGCUCGCUUGCUUGCUUGCUUGCUUGCUUGCUUACGUUCAUGAAUCUCCCUCGCCAAGACUGUAGGUCACGCAGCGACGCAGAAUCGGCUUUCCGCAGCGAGAGACACGUUUUGCGCCACUCGCGAAACGCGAUACCGUCUCCUUCACCGAACGAUUUCACUCCCGUUUGUCUCCCCAUUUCAAACGUUUCGAGGCGUUCGAGAAAGAAAUAAAUAAAAAAUAAAAGAAACAAAAUAUAUCUAGCCAAUUCUGUUAUCAUUGACUUAUUAUAGCUCGAAAUGAUUCAUCGCAUCAUUCAGAUAUAGAAAUAUCAUGCAUAAAUAUGUCACAUGUAUUGCUAUAGAUAUACAAAAUUUCUAUUGGAUUGAAACGAAAAAGAACAUUUUCAUUGGCGUAUGUUGAUUGGUGGUGCGCAACGGGAAACGAAAAGAGAUCACCCUAUGGGUGUACACCGACGGUGCAUCUCGCGGUACGGUAUCCUUCACCCUCUCCGACCAGUUACAUCCUGUAAUCGGAAGACCUCGGUGUCGUUCGUGCGUUCUCGCAUACGGAACGAACGAACGAACGAACGAAUGAACGGAUGGACGGACGGUCGAACGAACGAACGAACGAACGAACGAACGAACGAACGAACGAACGAACGAAUGGAGAGGAAGAAAGCUUCUGCUCUCCGAGUUCAUAGUUUCUUCCAAAACAUAUCGUAUGCGAGGGUUGGUCGUGUGUUUCCGUAGUCAUACGGACGCGUUUAAUGUUUACGAUAGAUCCAAACCGAUCACAAGACGAAACUUUUUAGACGUUAAGGGUGGAUGGAAUCAAUCGUAAGAAGUAGUACUAACAAUAUUAAUAUCGGAACUAUGUUCAAAUUAUACUUUACCCAAGUUAAUAUCUCUUUCUUUCUUUCUCCCCCUCUCUCUCUCUCUCUAUCUCUCUGUUUCAGUCUUUAAUCAUGGGUAUUAGAAAUGGCAGGAACUUUGAAAUAUCCGAUUGGUUUGGGGUUUAAUUCCAAAUAUGAAGAUUCUGAAACUAAGGAAAUGAUUCCUGAUUCGUAUUAAACUUUUUCGUUCGAAUAACAGUGAUGAUUUCUCUUUGUAUCAUUUGGUAUACGUUACCACGAGCAAAUCCGUAAUCAUUUUGAGAGAUGCCUGGAAGAGAAUGAAGAAGAAUCCUUUUCCCGCAAACUCCAGCAAAAUAUACUCAAUCGAAUAAACACAGAGAGCACGAGAUAUACCGGCUAACACAACAACUUGCGUGCCAGCAAUAAUGAAUUUCGCUGGCCUUGCGAGCCGAAGGGGAGAGAAUAUCCCUUCUCCGCGCCCUCCCACCCCCUCCUUCGUGACUCGAGACCCUUGGCCAAUCACGCCCAUGGGUAAAGGAGAGGAGAAGCUCGAGGCACAUCUCGCGCGUGGCGCCUCGUGCGUUUCGGUCCGACGACGACCGAAACGCCACGAUUAGCCCGAAUUCGUAUGAUUACAUCGUGCGGAAGAAUGGUAGAAAGAGAAAAAGAAUAAGAGACAAAAGAGAGAAGCGAAGAACCGGAAUUCGUGUUCUCGUACGACUCGAGUAAAACUCGACCGAGACUUAUUUGCUAUCAUCGGAACGAUCAGUACUGUUUAUCGGACGUUACCAAUAAUACGAAACCUAUCAAUAUCCUUAUAUAAAGUCCAAUAAAAUUUUAAGAAGAAUUUAAGUUAUGAUUGUUCAUCUAUUAGAACUUAAUUCGAUGAUGUUUAUAUAUUUAUCGGCAUUAGUUAAAAACAAUUUGCAAUAAGAUAUAUUUUUCUUAUUGUUAAAUAAAAAUCGUUUUUAAUAUCGAUGUGUGAAUAAAAAUCAAGGAAAAAUAACGGAUAAUAAUAGUCGUAAUACGUAAUAGAGCGUGGAAGGAUCGAAGAGAAGGACAAACGGAGGUUCGACGCUCGGAGCGUCGUGACAGCGAUCCGCUCUAGUCGACUGCCGUCCAUUGAAAGAGCAGACGAGAGAGAGACAGCGGAUGGUAGCACGCGCGACGAGGGUGGUAAUGGUGGGGAUACGGCCGGCAGGUUCGGCUCCUCCCGAAGCGAGACGACGCGACACGAUCGUCGUCGUUGCUCGACUGGACGCCCGCCGCGGUGUGUGUAUAUAAAUAGACGGUACGUCGACCGACCGUCUGCUGCUCUCCUCUCACCGGUGUUACGCUACUGCAUGCGGAGCAAGUACUCGCGUGCUACGAGCCAGAGAGGGUGCUUUUUCUAUCGAUCUCUCUCGCACAGUGCGCGACUUGUGUUUCUGCCUUAUCGACACCUUUCGAGCUUGAGAAGAACCGACGAAAGACGACACAAUGAAUGAAUGACGAUCGAUUUUCAGAUCGUAUAAUAUUCGAUACAACUUUUUAUGUGUAUGCAUAUACAUAUAUGUAUAUACAUAUAUAAAUAUAAAUAAAUAUAUAUACAAACACACAAUGAGAUCUAGAUAAAAAAAAGUCUUUCUCUCUCUUAAGUAUAUACAUAAUUCUUAAUUUCUUAAUCGAGAUAAAUUUCAUCCUUAUUUAAAUAGAAUAUCAAGAAGAAUUAAAAUCAUUUAAAAAAUCAUUUAAAAGCACAUUUUAAGGUGAUACGAUUUCCUAACGGUGAUGACAUUUCUAUGUUACUUCUAUACUCGUUAGGAAUAAGGUCUAGUUGUUGGUAGUAGUGGUGGUGGUGGUGGGACUUUAACGACGAGGCGGUUCAAUGGGGGGAUUGGGGUUGGCUGUCGUGAAGAAGCAGAAAACCUGGCUCGUCGCCUAGGUGGAUAUUUCAUAAGAGCUGGAGGGAAAAACGUUCUCUUUAAAGGAGAAAGGAUAACGACGAGACAAAUCAUGUGAAGCUUGAAAGGAACGACGAUUGGAGAAACAUCCUCAUAAUGACACAUUAACGUCUUGUUAUAUUUUAUGUGUUGACGCGAGAAUGCUGUCAAAGGAGAAAGUACAUUACGAGGCAACAAACAUAAGUUCUACAAUAUUAUAGACAAAAGCAAGCAACCCGUUAUUUUCCUUCAACUUGUAAAACCGGAUCAUCAACUAGUAAAGAGAAGAAGGACGCGUCACACACAAGUCGGCGCUGUAGGGCAACGAAGAAAUUCGAGAGGUUGGUCCUUAUCCCUUCUUUUCUUUCUUUAGUAAUUUCUCUUUCUCUCUCUCUCUCUCUCUCUCUCUCUCUCUCUCUCUCUCUCUCUCUCUCUCUCUCUCUCUUCCGCCAUCUGGGAUUCGGCUGUCUCAGAGGACCGUGAAAAAGACACUGAGGAAUAUAUAAGGAUGAAGAAUCUCGUGCGAGAAGUUUUCAUGGAAUUCGAAGUGGAUUUUUGCGGUUCGUGGAAGAAUCCACGACGGCAAGGUCGAGGACAACGAAAGGUGGCGGCUGUGGUGUAGCAAUGAUGGUGGCGAGGGUGGAAGGGGAAAAUGUGCGAGGUCGAGACCUGGGGAGCGAGAAAGAGAAAGAGAAAGAGAGAGAAGAGAGAGCGAGAGAGCGAGAGAACGGAAAGAGAGGGGAAGGUACGGUGGAGGGGAAAGAAGAGAGAUACCGAGGUCGAUGGAGGCAAAGGGGGACAAGCAGGGGUGUUAUUGCGUGGUAGUGUGGUUAAGCGUAUUGAUCCCAAUCACUACGAUAUGUCCAGGCUCCGCCGCCUCGGGCACCUCUGGCCGGGUCAUCGCUAGAAACGAGAGAAUCCGUUAGAAACUAUGAUCAGCGUUGCGGAAGGUUCUCCGACAAGAGGAGACAACAAUUUAAUGCCACUCACACGGAAUAAGGAACAAAAAAGAAAGAAGAAUAAAGAACACGCGAUUCGAAUUGAAGAGAAACCGGAAGACACAGAGGGCGUGCGGAACGCGUAAAAUGGUGGAAGGUGGUUCCCUACGGCGAAUUUCUCGAAGGAAAUCUUCAUCGUGGAAAAUGAAAACAACGAACAUACGAAAACGAAAAUACGAAGAUCUGUGAAAAAUAUCUCAAAAUGAAAAACUGUUAGUUGUUAAUGUAAUAGUCAUACAUAUAUAUAUAUAUAUAUAUAUAUAUAUAUAUAUAUAUAUAUAUAUAUAUAAUCGUUAAAAGAUUUGAUCCUUCCAUUUCCUACUUUUUCUUUGACACCCUUUUUUCUUUUCUCCUCUUCCUACUUCUCGUCCUCCUCCACCAUCUUCUUCUUGUUCUUGUUUUUAUCAUUAAGGCGUACGCGCACGCGACGACGGAACGAUUAAUGAAGAGCAUGGAGACGAUGCGACACGCGAUGAAAAUAAGAAAAAAAAACAAGAAGAAAAUAAAAGGAGAAAAAAAAGAAAAAGAGAAAGAAAAUAAGAAUCUGGCAACGCAGCGUAAGAACGUUUGCUUACUAGUAAGACUCGCCGUACAUGUCGCCAUACGUACGUAUUACUACUCUCUCCUCCUUCACUCUUCUACUCUUCCUCCUCCUCCUCCACCUCCUCCUCGUCAUCCUCCUCCUCCUCCACCUCCUCCUCCUCCUCCUACUGGCUCUUCCUACUCUUUCUUCCAUAUCGCAUCGUACGUAAAUGCCUCGACGAGUUUGGUGCACUGCCGUUACGAGCGCUAAUUGGACACCGUGAACGAGCGCGCGCGCGCUCUCGCUCGCGCACUCGCGCGAAUUAUCGACUCUCGGUGAUCGGACCAAAAUCGAUCGACAAACCAAAUGACCAAUGAAAAGAACGCCUAUGAUAUAUGCUAUGAACUCUAGGACGAAUUUUUGUUAAUUGUUUUUUUCCUUUUUUUUUUUUUUUUUUUUAAGACAUGUUUAAAAAUAAUAAUCAUUGUUAGAUAAUAACUAUUAUUUUAUAAUCUAAAUGAAACAUAUUAAAAUAUUAGAUCUUUUGUACCAUACAAAACAUUGUUUUUUAAAUUUUUUCAACGAUCAGUCAGUAUUAUUUGUUUUUCAUUUCCUCUUCUUUCGUUUACAAUCGAUCAACAAAUCAAAUUUCCAUCGUCGUACCGAUAUGAAAUUUGUAAGAGAAACGAUGAAAAAUCAUAGGAAUAUAUUGUUCUACGAUGGAAAGAUUGAGUUUAUUCGAAUAAAAACGAGAAGAAGAAUAUUCGCUAUAAGUCGAUUCGGUAAAUUGAACUCAACUGUAAGGAAAGCAACAUUGUGAAGUUCGAGGAGAGACAGUCUCGAAGACGAGAGUCGCUACGAUCGAUCCCACAACGUUCCUCGGAUGGUCGACAUUAUUGGAGUUACGUAAUGGUACUUGGGCGGCAACGCAUAGAGAAAGAGAGAGAGAGAGAGAGAGAGAGAGGGAGAGAGAGAUUUUGUCGCCUAUAGCAAGUGUAUGGGUAUAUAUAUAUAUUCGUAGAAAUCAAAUUUCCCGCGCCUCGCUCCCUGCACUAUGAUCUUAAACUAUACAAAGAUCGAUCGAGCAUAAGCGACAUAUGACUUCGCGUUUCUUCUUUGUGUAUCUUUGCUAAUAGGUCUCAUCUACUGAUAUUUUUCAUGAAGUUAAACGACAUAUUAGAAGGAUAUAAAUCAACGAUAAAACCAGAGAGAAAGAGAGAGUGAGAGAAAGAGAGAGAGAGAGAGAGAGAGAGAGAGAGAGAGAGAGAGAGAAAGAAAGAGAGAGAGAGAAAGAGAGAGAGAGAGAGAGAGAAAGAAAGAGAGAGAGAGAAAGAGAGAGAGAGAAAGAGAGAGAGAGAAAGAGAACGCCAUGUUGUUUCUAUUGCUUACCAACAGUACCUCGAAUUUUCUACCUUCAUUUUUUUUUUUCACCGACAAGUCUAGAUUUACACAGUUGGAAACAUUCCUUUCACCAAUCGCAAUAUAUAUGUGCAAAGUUCUUUGAGGAAUUACGAAAUUGCCAUGGAGAUUAUGCUGCUAUCGGCGAUCUCUCUCUUUCUCUUUCAUUUUUAUAUUAGUGUAUGUAUGUGUGUGCGGGUGUAUCUAUUGAGAAUACAUAUAUAUAUAAAAACUAUUUUAAUUAGUAAUAAUUCAAUUUCAACAUAGAUAUAAUAUGAAAAGAGAAGUUCUGCAAGUUUUGAAGAAAAAAUAUUUUUGCAUUUUGAGAUUAUAUAGUUGUCCUUAAAUAUAUUAUUGUAUCGAUGAUUUAAAGAGCCAUUUAAAUAAAACAAAAUAAGUUCAACAAAUAUAUGAUGUAUCUGUAUAACAUAACACACACACACACACACACACACACACACACACAAACACAUAUACACACACAUUAUAUGUAUAUAUGUAUGUAUAAAAAUAUAUAAAUAUUUCUUUCGAUUCAUUUCUAUAUAAAAAAUUAAACUCAACAUAGAUAUGACAUUCAGAAGAAUAAAAAACAUUACUGAUUUCUGAAAAAAUAUUUUUGCAUUUGGAGGUUAGAUCGUUAUCGCGAAAGAUAUCACUUGUUGUCGACGAUUUAAAAACGAGAAAAGAAAAGAAAAGAAAAACAUCUACAGGGCGCAAUUUUUAAUUUAGUAAGAAAAAUGUAUUUUACAUAGAUAUAAUAUAUCUAUAUAAUAUAUAUAAAUAAAUCUUCCGAGAUUUAUUUUAAAAUGAAAAAUAAAGUACGCCAUGAAUGUAUGAUGUUUCUCUUCAUAGGCAAUAUAUAUAUUGCAUAAUUAUU
Molecule: long non-coding RNA, 8033 nt
Organism: Vespa velutina
Lineage: Eukaryota; Metazoa; Arthropoda; Insecta; Hymenoptera; Vespidae
Exons: 4
Source: RefSeq, a predicted model, not a curated record